AGAGUUUGAUCCUGGCUCAGGAUGAACGCUAGCUGGAGGCUUAAUACAUGCAAGUCGAGCGGGAUUGGUAGCAAUACCAUGAGAGCGGCGCACGGGUGAGUAACGCGUACACGACCUACCUCUGACAGGGGGAUAGCCCUGGGAAACUGGGAUUAAUACCGCAUAUUAUUCUGAUUAAUAAAGGAUUGGAAUGAAAGUUCAGGCGGUCAGAGAUGGGUGUGCGUCUGAUUAGCUAGUUGGUAGGGUAACGGCCUACCAAGGCGAUGAUCAGUAGGGGGCGUGAGAGCGUGAUCCCCCACACGGGUACUGAGACACGGACCCGACUCCUACGGGAGGCAGCAGUAAGGAAUAUUGGACAAUGGCCGCAAGGCUGAUCCAGCCAUCCAGCGUGCAGGAAGAAGGCCCUAUGGGUUGUAAACUGCUUUUAUCAGGGAAUAAACCUCUGGAUUCACUCCGGAGCUGAAGGUACCUGAAGAAUAAGCACCGGCUAACUCCGUGCCAGCAGCCGCGGUAAUAC
Molecule: ribosomal RNA, 517 nt
Filed under: uncultured bacterium
Lineage: Bacteria
Description: bacterial SSU rRNA
Rfam family: Bacterial small subunit ribosomal RNA
Source: RNAcentral